GAAUUAGUAACUUAAUUGGUAAAGGAUUUUCUUGUCACGAAAAUAGAUAUCGGUUCGAUGCCGGUCUAAUUCG
Molecule: non-coding RNA, 73 nt
Organism: Sodiomyces alkalinus F11
Lineage: Eukaryota; Fungi; Ascomycota; Sordariomycetes; Glomerellales; Plectosphaerellaceae
Source: the annotation of a RefSeq genome assembly